Non-coding RNA from Amborella trichopoda, 822 nucleotides. NCBI's taxonomy places the organism in Eukaryota, Viridiplantae, Streptophyta, Magnoliopsida, Amborellales, Amborellaceae. The record is from RefSeq and is a predicted model, not a curated record.
UAGUCCAAUUUAGUCUUUUCUUUGCGCUACGGGUGAUUGAUUGAUCGCUAUUUGUUUCAAUUGCAGCUAACAUUUUUAUGGGAAUUACGGAAAAGGAUGUGCCUUCUGUGUAGGACUUCUUAUAGAAUUGACUGCAACCUCAGUCAUGUGAAUAGAAUGUCAGAAAUGCAAAGCUACGAAACUUCUUUCUGUCAUUAACUUUUAAGGUCAAAGCAUGAGGCAUGCCAUGGAAGAGUUCUUAGGACCCUUUAGAUGGUUCAAGCGACGCCAGCUUUUUUUCCCUGGCAUAAACAAGUUGCCUCAUCUAGACCUUCAACUAAGCAGUAGCUGCCUAAAAUUGAUUGAGGAGCCUGCAACGGACAACUAUGUGAUAAACUAUUGGGUUUGUACACAGGAGCGAUCAACUAACUUCAAGUUCAGCAAAUUUGAAUUGCCCUUCAAAGGUUCAUAUACAAACCUCCUUUUGCUUGAGAAACUAUUUAGACCUUCACAGGCAUCGGCUGGAACUUCGUAAAAUUUGAGGACAAAGGUUCCUUUGAUGAUAACAACAAAUUUAUUCUUGCUGGUAAUUUUUCACAAUAAGCUGUUCUGGAUUCAUGCUCCCUUCAUAUUCUUUUUUAAAUGAAUAUGUAAGUUCUUUUAAUGAAAAUGCAUGGAGAUGAGCAUUUUUCUAUUAGUCUAGGUCCUUGGGCUUCUUUCUACUGGCAAUCAUUCUUGGUAAUGUGUAAAUAUCUUCUUUGUAGUUAGUGGUUCGGAAUUCUUUUCCUCAACCUUGGGCUUGUGACUCAUGCUUUGGAAUUAAAAAAGUGGUUAUUCUUUGGA